RNAcentral lists this ribosomal RNA (406 nucleotides) under uncultured bacterium. RNAcentral describes it as "bacterial SSU rRNA". It matches the Rfam family "Bacterial small subunit ribosomal RNA", at positions 355 to 775 of the family's 1533-position model. The record is from RNAcentral.
UGGGGAAUAUUGGGCAAUGGGCGCAAGCCUGACCCAGCAACGCCGCGUGAAGGAAGAAGGUCUUCGGAUUGUAAACUUCUGUCAUAGGGGACGAAGGAAGUGACGGUACCCUAUGAGGAAGCCCCGGCUAACUACGUGCCAGCAGCCGCGGUAAUACGUAGGGGGCGAGCGUUGUCCGGAAUUACUGGGCGUAAAGGGUGCGUAGGCGGCGAUGCAAGUCCAUUGUGAAAAGCCCGGGCUUAACCUGGGAGGUGCAGUGGAAACUGUAUGGCUUGAGUGCAGGAGAGGAAAGUGGAAUUCCUAGUGUAGCGGUGAAAUGCGUAGAUAUUAGGAGGAACACCAGUGGCGAGGGCGACUUUCUGGACUGUAACUGACGCUGAGGCACGAAAGCGUGGGGAGCAAACUG